GUGAAUCUUUUUUGGGUGCAUUUAAACAGAAAGGAUGCAAAUAUGGUGGAAUGAAUACAUGGUAAAAAGAUAACAAACACUUUGCAAAAAAGAGUUUUGGACCUUAAGGGGUUAAACGCUGAUAUCAGAAUUUUUUUUAUGUUUUAUUUAUUGAUUUAUUUUUAUUAGUAUAUAAUUGCACAGAAGUGUUUAGUAAACUGUAGCCCUUUUUUAGCAGCAAAAUUGUUGUCAAUUGUUAAUUGUUAAAGUUUACACAAAAAGUAUUCUGAUCUACUGAAUCUUUAUUUGUAUGCGUUCCCACGAGGAUAAAUUGUGAGUUUUGGUCCAACCCUACAAAUAAGCAACAAUUUAUUAAUGUCUCUUCACCACACAUCGUGAAGAGGAUCACUUCCUCAUUGUUACAGAUUUAUUUCUCGUGCAAGGCAGCAUCCUGUUGGGGUUUUUGCUAGUGUAAUGUUCAGAACGGAUAUUCAUGUGCAUUUAUAAAUGGGUCAGACUUGCCAGAUAACAUUAUGUUGCACAGAAGACAAAACAUCCUCUCUGUAAAGAUAUGAAAUAGUCUCUAAUCUUUUAUAUAUGUCAGUAAUGCUUCUGGCUAAUUCUCAAUAGCUUAAACAGGUAGGUGGGUGAUGUGCAGGUGUGUGACCUUUUAAUGUGAAGAUCAAAUGUGUGUUAGCAGAUGUUUCUAGAAGCUGCUUCUCUUUUCGUGGUAGGAAUCAUCAAGUUGUCUGGUAAAUGUAUUAGAGAGCUGCCCACAUUAAUAAUUUCUUCAUUUAUUUAUUUUACAUCAGAGCAUUUGGGACAUUUAUUUUACUCCUUUACUGUGAGUUCGUUCCAAAAGAAAGAUGCAACAUUGAAAGUAAAUGUGCAAUUAGUCACACAUGACAAGUUAAUUCUUGUACCGAAAGGUUCUGAAUCAAAUUCUGAUUGAAUAACUAUGAAAGUGAAAUUCUAUGCCAAAAAAAAAACCCUCACCAAGAAGAUUUAAUUUCAUGAUUUUAUUAAAGUAAAGUUAAAACAUUUACUAAUUCUGAUAUUUAUUAGAUCACCUUUAAAGCACAGUUUGGAUUGUUUGCUGUAUGACAACUGAGAAAUUGGAGUAUAAAAAGAGAGAGUUCCCUUAGCUGGAUAUUGGCAUCUAAACCAUAUUUGGGCAGAGCCUGGCAGUGACGUGACACUAUCCAGGUACCAACAGAGUUUGGACUCUUUCCAUGGCACCCUUCAUUCCCACGCCAGAGCUUCUCCACCAAGCUAUAGUAAUGUGCUGUCAUCCACCUGUCUCUUGGUCACACAGUACUGGCUGACCUCUUUCACUUAAAAAAAAAUUAAAAAAAAAUGUAGUGACCCAGUCAUUGCAGCAGAUUACUGAAGGUCACCUGCUUGUCUAUUCUUCAGUGACACAAAGUAACUUCACACUCUGUCUCUUCCCUUUCACUGUUUAGAUACAAAUGUAACAUGGUGACUGGCAAAAUAGAAGCCACGCAGGACAGUUUGGUUUUGUGUGCUCUGCUUGCCAGUGGCAGAUUGGUGUGUAAAAAUUAGUGGUACUGUGUUCAGAUAUAUAAAUGGUUAUAAACAUGUAUUAUUAUUAUUUAUUUUUUUUUCUAACUCUAAAAAGGUCUGUGAUAAUAAAAUUAUAUAAAAUAACAUUUAGGCUAAUAAACAACAACAACAAAAAAACCUUAAGCUCUAGAGAGACAUAAAAUAAUGGUGCUCCUUGAUUAAUGAUGAACUUAGUCCAGAUGUAUUAAAGAGAGGCAUGUUUGCAACUUGUGUUCAUUGUAUAUAAAUGAGCACAUAUAAAAACAAGUUCAAAGUGAUAUGUAAAAGUUGGUUAACUUGACUAUUUUUUCCCAGCUUUUGCUUUAGGAAGUCUGCUUUUUAUAACCGGAGGUACAACUUUUAAGUGUUCUUAUAUGUGUAUCUUCUCUUAUUUUGCUGUAACUUGAAUUCUAGAUCUAUUCUUAUUGAUUACUUAAAAAAAAAAGUCAGAAUACAUAUUUAAUCUCAAUCCAGUCUCCUAUACCCAUUACCUGCUUUUUUUUUUUUUUUUUUCCUACAACACAGAUUUCUUGUAACUGUAAAAGAGGUAUGUCACAGUAAUAUUACACUCACAUUUAAAACUUAUAUCUGUGUUUGGUUUUUUUCUUGUUUUUUUUUAUUUUUAUUUUUUUUACGUAAAAAAGAUAUUGAGGUAUCACUAACCCUUUUAUCUCAUUGAUACAUAUACCAUGUGAGGUAUUAUUGACCUGCAAAUCGUAUUGAUACAUACAGUGAAAAUAAAUUGGCAUCUAGCCCCAUUGAGGUCAGAUUUUUUUUAAAGACUAUUAUCUAUGACAUCUCUAAAAUAGUUUGACAACUGGUAAGUUAUAGGAAACAUAACACAAAAAUAGAGAUAUCACUCUUCCCAAAUGUGAAAAACAAAUGUGUAGCAACACAUUCAUUAGUUGUAGUAAACUAGAACAAUCUGAGUAAAACUGCAUCAAAGAGAUAAAAUAUGCAAACACCACCACCUAUUCAGAAUCUGCCCAGCAGUCCUGGGUCAGUCAUUUCUAAAUGAUCUAUUGUCCUUAGUGUGGUGCACUUGGAACUCAAGACCUGCAGAAUGUUUUGAGGUGUUGAUCUAGUUGUGUAAGUGAAGAAGAGAUUGGUCAGGUUCAGCGAUAAGAACAUGGCACUUUGCUAUAUUACAGUACGACAGGAUAUCAAUACAAUACAGUACAUAAUAUAUUGUUACAGUUUGUCAAUAAAGUCAGAAGAUGGAAGUUUGUUUUCUGCAUUCAGAAUUGUAAUUUGUCACCAUGAGAAUUCUGCUCCACUGAAUCAUGUGACAAAUCUCUCUACUAGAGACCUAGUUUCUAGAUGGUUAAAAUUGUAUUUACAGCUUUAGGCACAGAACAUACAGGAUCUUACCAUGGUACAAUAAAAUCUGCUGUUCUUGUGUGAUUGUAUUUGUUGUUAUACAUUGUAAGCAACAAUUCUGAGGAUUUUGACAUUUGCUUGCUAAAGGGGAACUUGCUGAAAGCAAUAUAAAGAUAAUGCAUUCAAUAUAAUGUCAAAAAGGCACAUACCUUAAAACUUUCCCCUGGUUCACUGAAUAAUGGUUCUGUCUGUAGGCAGUCCAUUUCCACACCAGGAAGAAAAUCUAUCUCAUGAACUCCUGCACAUCAGGCUUUAUGGUAUGUCAGGGGUUCCCAAAAGGUAGAUGUUGUAAAACCACGACUCCCAUGAUGCUUUGCAUGCAUUCGGAAUGCCAUUACAAUGGCAAACAUCCUAGAAGUUGUCAUUAUUAAAACAUCUGGGAAUCUACCUUUUGAUCAUCCCUGGUAUAGGUAGUUUUGUGUAGGAUUAGAUAUUAUUGCUCUGCCCUGUCAACUGAUAGCAGUCCUACCACAGAAAAAAUGGGGAACUGGGUUAUAUGCAGCUUUUGGCAUAGCCAUUGUCUGCAGCUUGGUUCUCUCUCCUGAGAUAAGAGAGAGUGCUUGGCCCAAGUUGUGACCAAGCUGACACUCCCUGCAACACUUGGAUGGCAUAGCUAGCCUGGAAGCAAAUUUAUUUGUUGGCUGAUUGGUGGGAGCUGAGCUGUGCCCAGGAAACAAAAGACAAAUGUGUCAAAAAUUUGCAUUUCAGUGCUGCAUUUGCCAUGCGCCAUAACCACUUCUGGUUACUCAAGGUCUUAUGGUAUUUAGAUUAACCUUUUUUUGUCUGAAGAGAAUUAUUGCAGCUCUCUUUAACAUAGCCAUAUUUAGAAAAAAUAUCAAAAUAUAGAUCAAAUACUGGAUAUAGUUUGAGAAUUAAAUUCUCAGAUUUAGAGCAAAAUAGUAUGUUGGAGGGUACUACUCUACUGGAAUAAAAGGGCUUCCACUAAAAAGCCCAGAGUGCAAGAUAAAAAGUAGGUAUUUGAUAUGUUCCAAUCAGUAUCCAGGAGUAGUUAUGGUAGGCGUGAUGUACCUUUAAAUUUAGGAACAACAUAUUUAAAGGUACAUCACACCCACCAUAACUACUCUUGGAUACUCAUUAGAACAUAUUUAAUAGUUCACAUACUAUCUCUCAGCAAGUUCUAAUACCCAGCAUUGGCAUGUUAUUUGUUUGGUCUAAUAAUAUGAAAAUAGUUAUCAUUUUCACUUAAGAACCAUUAGGAGCAAAUGAUUUUGUUUGGUAUUUAUGCUAGUUAAUAGUUGUUGCUUUUACUGAUAUCGGUUACUGCUUUAUUGGGAGUAGAAGUAGGUAAGUUAAAUGCAGUCGAUUGUAGGGCAUUUAAAGCUACUUGAUCUUUAAUCAGAAAUUUGAUGGUUUUUUUUGUCUAUAUCAAUAUAUUUACGAAAGAGCAGAUUUCUGAGGUUAUGUUGUAUUAUGGCCUUUUGUUUCCCAAUCAUGAGUUCUAGACAGAUGCUGUAAUUAGACUGCAUAAAGAGCUUUCCAGGAGAACUUUCCAGAAAUGUGGCAGGACAUUUGUAGAAUCAUGAGAUAAAGCCUCUGUGGGUUAUAAUCUCUUUAGGAGUGGCUGAAAGAUGCAAUUUUUGCCAAUUAGUUUAUUGUAGUAACGGGAUAUCUCUUCUGGUAAUAAGCUUCAAAAUUGCCAACUCUAUUAGGCACUGGAUGGCUUGGUCCUAUUCUGAAAAUGAAUCUUCAGUGUGGCCAGAUCCUUGUAGCACUACCUGUUUGGAUUCAGAGGUUAGUAUUUUGACCGUCCAGAAUUUUCCUUAAUAUCCAAUGUGCAACUAAAUUAAUCUAUUCACUUCAAUUACCACCCAUGUAUCCUGUAUUUUAUUAUGCCUGGCAAAGUUAACCACCCACUCUUUGAAGCAAUUUUAUCAAAUUAUCCUCGGCCCAAAUAUUUCUGAAUGUUUAGGGGAUUGCUUGUUUGCAAACUGUUACUGUAGCAAUUUGUUUUUGUUUUUUUAAUUCAGCAGAACAAUUGCUGUUUCUGUGAAUUUUUAACAGCUCACUGCUAUGCACCUGAAUACUAUUUCAUGGUUAGAAAUGUAUUGCAUACUUAGUAAGGCACUCUUUUAGACUGUCACCUUCCAGGCUCCAUGUAAAAGCUUUUGAGAGAAUUUCGUUGUAAGCAUUAUGCUAUCGUCAGUGAAGAGCAAUAUGUGUACGUAUUUCCACAGUGUAAGCAGACACCAUAAUU
This 5137-nucleotide long non-coding RNA is filed under the name Pelobates cultripes (western spadefoot toad). The record is from RNAcentral. Lineage: Eukaryota; Metazoa; Chordata; Amphibia; Anura; Pelobatidae.